GGUCAAGCUACAAAGGGCGCAUGGUGAAUGCCUUGGCACUAGGAGCCGAAGAAGGACGUGAUAAGCUGCGAUAAGCCUUGGGUAGUCGCAAAUAGGCAGAGAUCCAGGGAUUUCCGAAUGAGGGAACUCACAUGGGUAACCCCAUGUAUCAUGCACUGAAUACAUAGGUGUAUGAGGGUAAACCCGGGGAACUGAAACAUCUAAGUACCCGGAGGAAGAGAAAGAAAAAUCGAUUUCCUAAGUAGCGGCGAGCGAACGGGAAAGAGCCCAAACCAGAAACUUGUUUCUGGGGUUGAGGAUAGAUCAUAAAAGAAGAGGUAUCUUAAUCGAAAAGGGCUGGAACGCCCUACCAUAGAAGGUAAUAGUCCUGUAGAUGAAAAGAGAA
RNAcentral lists this non-coding RNA (385 nucleotides) under Clostridium tepidum. RNAcentral describes it as "bacterial LSU rRNA". It matches the Rfam family "Bacterial large subunit ribosomal RNA", at positions 1 to 390 of the family's 2925-position model. Lineage: Bacteria; Bacillati; Bacillota; Clostridia; Eubacteriales; Clostridiaceae. The record is from RNAcentral.